Gopherus evgoodei (Goodes thornscrub tortoise) is the source of this 1563-nucleotide long non-coding RNA. RefSeq lists it as uncharacterized. The transcript is spliced from 4 exons. NCBI's taxonomy places the organism in Eukaryota, Metazoa, Chordata, Testudines, Testudinidae. The record is from RefSeq and is a predicted model, not a curated record.
GCUCCUCGAUUUCUCCCAGGAAGCCGAAGAGCGUCCGCAUCUGCUCGCUGGUUACCCGCCGAGGAGAGAUUGGUGACUUGGAUGACGGAGAGACAAUCCACUGGUAUCCUGCAUCAUCUGUCUUCCUCAAAGAGAAAGAAAGAUCCUAACUAAGACUCUUAUGACUGAUGGCCAGAACUGUCCACUGUAGCAAAGCAGCUAUACUUUGUUUGAUUGAAAUGAUAUGAACAGCAUUUGAAAGAAUGCACUGUCAGCACGGGAUCGAUGGCCACUGCUCCCCCGUCGACUUUGCUUCCACCUCUUGCCGAGCUGGAGUUCAGCACUCCAUGGGAGAGCGACCGGGGAUCGGUUUAUCACAUCUGCACCCCCGAUAGAUUGAUCACUACCCGCCCUUCCAGUCCUAUGAUUCUACAGUAUUAACAGAAGUAUCAUAGGUUUUUUUUUUGGUUUUUUUUCCCUGCUUACGUCUGCACACGCACUGGGAUGUCAGUGACACGUGUUUCUGUAUAUUAUGUGAGUAUUCUUCUGCUGCACUGUUACUGCUGUUUUCUUGUGCUUUGCGAUUAUUUUAACAUUUUGCCUCAAAAUGAGUGGUUCAAAUAAAAGACAACUUAUGUAUUAUUUCAAUGCACAGUGGGAAGAAUCCUAUUGUUUUAUUGAAAAUAAAGGGAAAUGUAUGCUUAUUGUGCAGUGGUACUGUUGCAGUGCUGAAAGAACAAUGUCGAACGCCAUUUCCAAACUAAUCACGGCUCUUUUCACAUUAGCCAUCCACUUAAAUCUGAGUUGAGAGAGGUUUGAUUUGAGUUGAUUAUUUUUCUUUUAUCUGCCCAGCAAUCUAUUUUCACUAGACAAGUGGUAAAGUCUAAAAGUGCUACUGUUGCUUGCUUUAAAAUUGCUCAUCUGCUCGCAAAGAAGAAAAAACCCUUUCAAAAUGGUGAAUUGUUGAAGGAAGCAUUUUUGACUGGUGCUGAUUGCCUGCUUCAAGGCUUUUCUAAGAAGCAUGAGAUUUUGUCGGCAAUACAAGGCUUGCAGUUAUCAGACAACAGUUACGAGGAGGAUACAUGCAAUUUCAAGCGACAUGCAAACUCAGCUAAAGGAUGACUUAGAAAUAUGUGACUGGUUUUCACUGCAGUUUGAUGAGUCGCCAGAUAUAUUGGAUACAGCGCAGUUGGCAGUUAUGGUGAGGAUGGUAUUUAGUGACUUCACCCUAAAAGAAGUUACUAAAAGUAUUGCCUAUGAAAGGGUGAACAAAGGGUGAGGACAUCUGUAAUUUAUUCAAAUCAUACGCAACAUCAAUUAGUAUGCCACUACACAAGUUGUCUGUGAUCACCACUGAUGUGGCACCAGCAAUGAUGGGCAGCACCAAUGGAUUCAUUGCACUCUGCAAGAAGAAUGUAUCCUUUCCGAACUUUGUCUUAUUAUUGCAUUAUCCACCAAGAAGCUUUGUGUGUCAAAGUUCUCUCUUUUCAACACAUCAUGAAUGUCAUUAUUAAAAUAGCGACAGAGUCCUGUGGCACCUUAUUGACUAACAGACAUAUUGGAGCAUAAGCUUUCUUGGGUGAA